RNAcentral lists this ribosomal RNA (253 nucleotides) under uncultured bacterium. RNAcentral's name for it is "partial 16S ribosomal RNA". It matches the Rfam family "Bacterial small subunit ribosomal RNA", at positions 524 to 776 of the family's 1533-position model. The record is from RNAcentral.
UACAGAGGUGGCAAGCGUUGUUCGGAAUUACUGGGCGUAAAGGGCGCGUAGGCGGCCAUCUAAGUCAGACGUGAAAUCCCCGGGCUCAACCCGGGAACUGCGUCCGAUACUGGAAGGCUUGAAUCCGGGAGAGGGAUGCGGAAUUCCAGGUGUAGCGGUGAAAUGCGUAGAUAUCUGGAGGAACACCGGUGGCGAAGGCGGCAUCCUGGACCGGUAUUGACGCUGAGGCGCGAAAGCCAGGGGAGCAAACGGG